AUGGCCAUACCACCCUAAACACACCUGCUCUCAUCUGAUCUCAGAAACUAAGCAGGGUCAGGCCUGGUUAGUACUUGGAUGGAAGACCUAUCUCAAGGUGAAAGGAGAUAACCAAC
This 116-nucleotide ribosomal RNA is filed under the name Jaculus jaculus (lesser Egyptian jerboa). Lineage: Eukaryota; Metazoa; Chordata; Mammalia; Rodentia; Dipodidae. The record is from RNAcentral.